AAUGAACGCUGGCGGCAGGCCUAACACAUGCAAGUCGAACGGAUCCUUCGGGAUUAGUGGCGGACGGGUGAGUAACGCGUGGGAACAUACCCAAAGGUACGGAAUAGCCUCGGGAAACUGGGAGUAAUACCGUAUGUGCUCGAAAGAGGAAAGAUUUAUCGCCUUUGGAUUGGCCCGCGUUGGAUUAGGUAGUUGGUGGGGUAAUGGCCUACCAAGCCGACGAUCCAUAGCUGGUUUGAGAGGAUGAUCAGCCACACUGGGACUGAGACACGGCCCAGACUCCUACGGGAGGCAGCAGUGGGGAAUCUUAAACAAUGGGGGAAACCCUGAUCUAGCCAUGCCGCGUGAUCGAUGAAGGCCUUAGGGUUGUAAAGAUCUUUCAGGUGGGGAGAUAAUGACUGUACCACCAGAAGAAGCCCCGGCUAACUCCGUGCCAGCAGCCGCCGUAA
RNAcentral lists this ribosomal RNA (449 nucleotides) under uncultured bacterium. RNAcentral's name for it is "partial 16S ribosomal RNA". It matches the Rfam family "Bacterial small subunit ribosomal RNA", at positions 29 to 523 of the family's 1533-position model. The record is from RNAcentral.